AGCGGGGUAGACCAGCCUGGAGUGGUCGUUGGGCUCAUAACCCAAAGGUCCGUGGUUCAAAUCCACGCCCCGCUA
This 75-nucleotide transfer RNA is filed under the name Candidatus Nanoarchaeia archaeon. Its description in RNAcentral is "tRNA-Met". It matches the Rfam family "tRNA". Rfam says of the family: Transfer RNA (tRNA) molecules are approximately 80 nucleotides in length. Their secondary structure includes four short double-helical elements and three loops (D, anti-codon, and T loops). RNAcentral also lists the same sequence under 1 other name. Lineage: Archaea; Nanobdellati; Nanobdellota; Candidatus Nanoarchaeia. The record is from RNAcentral.